Molecule: non-coding RNA, 25 nt
Filed under: Cricetulus griseus (Chinese hamster)
Lineage: Eukaryota; Metazoa; Chordata; Mammalia; Rodentia; Cricetidae
Source: RNAcentral
AAAGACUGUCAUCCCCUACCGGGUA